GAAUGCUGACAUAAGUAACGAUAAAGCGGGUGAAAAGCCCGCUCGCCGGAAGACCAAGGGUUCCUGUCCAACGUUAAUCGGGGCAGGGUGAGUCGACCCCUAAGGCGAGGCCGAAAGGCGUAGUCGAUGGGAAACGGGUUAAUAUUCCCGUACUUGGUGUUACUGCGAAGGGGGGACGGAGAAGGCUAUGUUGGCCGGGCGACGGUUGUCCCGGUUUAAGCGUGUAGGUGUGUGUUCCAGGUAAAUCCGGUUCACUUUAACACUGAGGCGUGACGACGAGGCACUACGGUGCUGAAGCAACAAAUGCCCUGCUUCCAGGAAAAGCCUCUAAGCAUCAGGUAACAUCAAAUCGUACCCCAAACCGACACAGGUGGUCAGGUAGAGAAUACCAAGGCGCUUGAGAGAACUCGGGUGAAGGAACUAGGCAAAAUGGUGCCGUAACUUCGGGAGAAGGCACGCUGACACGUAGGUGAAGUGAUUUACUCAUGGAGCUGAAGUCAGUCGAAGAUACCAGCUGGCUGCAACUGUUUAUUAAAAACACAGCACUGUGCAAACACGAAAGUGGACGUAUACGGUGUGACGCCUGCCCGGUGCCGGAAGGUUAAUUGAUGGGGUCAGCGCAAGCGAAGCUCCUGAUCGAAGCCCCGGUAAACGGCGGCCGUAACUAUAACGGUCCUAAGGUAGCGAAAUUCCUUGUCGGGUAAGUUCCGACCUGCACGAAUGGCGUAAUGAUGGCCAGGCUGUCUCCACCCGAGACUCAGUGAAAUUGAACUCGCUGUGAAGAUGCAGUGUACCCGCGGCAAGACGGAAAGACCCCGUGAACCUUUACUAUAGCUUGACACUGAACAUUGAGCCUUGAUGUGUAGGAUAGGUGGGAGGCUUUGAAGUGUGGACGCCAGUCUGCAUGGAGCCGACCUUGAAAUACCACCCUUUAAUGUUUGAUGUUCUAACGUGGACCCGUGAUCCGGGUUGCGGACAGUGUCUGGUGGGUAGUUUGACUGGGGCGGUCUCCUCCUAAAGAGUAACGGAGGAGCACGAAGGUUGGCUAAUCCUGGUCGGACAUCAGGAGGUUAGUGCAAUGGCAUAAGCCAGCUUGACUGCGAGCGUGACGGCGCGAGCAGGUGCGAAAGCAGGUCAUAGUGAUCCGGUGGUUCUGAAUGGAAGGGCCAUCGCUCAACGGAUAAAAGGUACUCCGGGGAUAACAGGCUGAUACCGCCCAAGAGUUCAUAUCGACGGCGGUGUUUGGCACCUCGAUGUCGGCUCAUCACAUCCUGGGGCUGAAGUAGGUCCCAAGGGUAUGGCUGUUCGCCAUUUAAAGUGGUACGCGAGCUGGGUUUAGAACGUCGUGAGACAGUUCGGUCCCUAUCUGCCGUGGGCGCUGGAGAACUGAGGGGGGCUGCUCCUAGUACGAGAGGACCGGAGUGGACGCAUCACUGGUGUUCGGGUUGUCAUGCCAAUGGCACUGCCCGGUAGCUAAAUGCGGAAGAGAUAAGUGCUGAAAGCAUCUAAGCACGAAACUUGCCCCGAGAUGAGUUCUCCCUGAGACUUUAGGUCUCCUGAAGGAACGUUGAAGACGACGACGUUGAUAGGCCGGGUGUGUAAGCGCAGCGAUGCGUUGAGCUAACCGGUACUAAUGAACCGUGAGGCUUAACCUUACA
RNAcentral lists this ribosomal RNA (1658 nucleotides) under Salmonella enterica subsp. enterica serovar Ibadan. Its description in RNAcentral is "partial 23S ribosomal RNA". It matches the Rfam family "Bacterial large subunit ribosomal RNA", at positions 1292 to 2925 of the family's 2925-position model. Lineage: Bacteria; Pseudomonadati; Pseudomonadota; Gammaproteobacteria; Enterobacterales; Enterobacteriaceae. The record is from RNAcentral.